CCAAAGGAGUUUUUAAACUCCACAAACAAUGUUAAGGGGUUGACA
Gossypium raimondii (Peruvian cotton) is the source of this 45-nucleotide non-coding RNA. Lineage: Eukaryota; Viridiplantae; Streptophyta; Magnoliopsida; Malvales; Malvaceae. The record is from Rfam.